AGGACGACGCUGGCGGCGUGCUUAAUACAUGCAAGUCGAGCGAGGCCUUGGAAUUGGAGUCCUUCGGGAUGAAGAGUCCUUGGCCUAGCGGCGGACGGGUGAGUAACGCGUGGGCAACCUACCCCAAAGUCCGGGAUAACAGUGGGAAACCGCUGCUAAUACCGGAUGGCUUUACCUGAGGGCAUCCUCGGGUAAAGAAAGGUUACGCUUUGGGAUGGGCCCGCGUCCCAUUAGCUAGUUGGUGAGGUAACGGCUCACCAAGGCGACGAUGGGUAGCCGGCCUGAGAGGGUGAACGGCCACACUGGGACUGAGACACGGCCCAGACUCCUACGGGAGGCAGCAGUAGGGAAUAUUGCGCAAUGGGCGGAAGCCUGACGCAGCGACGCCGCGUGAGCGAAGAAGGCCUUCGGGUCGUAAAGCUCUGUCCUUGGGGAAGAAGGCGAAAGCUUGACGGUACCCAAGAAGAAAGCCCCGGCUAACUACGUG
Molecule: ribosomal RNA, 487 nt
Filed under: uncultured bacterium
Lineage: Bacteria
Description: bacterial SSU rRNA
Rfam family: Bacterial small subunit ribosomal RNA
Source: RNAcentral